CUCACCAAACCAAACCAUUAAACCUGUUAACAGAGAAAGUGUGAAAAACCCCUCUCUCUCUCUCUCUCUCUCUAUCAGGUUUGCAACGAGGAAACAACACCAGAGCUCUUCGAUCUUCCAGAACAUUCUAGUAGGACGAAAGAGAUUCAUUCUUCACUUCAAACUGCAAACAACCAAAACACUAACCCGUUUUCAUGGACUUGUACGGUCGGGGCCCCGCGAGAAAUGUACACAACCCAGUGAACCAACCCGAAUGGCGCUCACCGGGCACCGACACUGGUCUCGAAGAAUCGAUGUGGCAUUUGACGCUGGGUGGUGGUGGCGAAUCUUACCCGGAGCGACCCGGUGUGCCUAAUUGUGUGUAUUACAUGCGGACUGGGGUGUGUGGAUAUGGUGGCAGGUGUCGUUACAAUCACCCUCAUGAUCGUGCUGCGGUUGUUGCGGCGGUAAGAGUUACAGGGGACUACCCCGAACGGUUGGGGGAACCUCCAUGUCAGUAUUAUUUAAAAACUGGAACCUGUAAAUUUGGUGCAUCCUGUAAAUUCCACCAUCCUAAAAAUGGAGGUGAAUAUUUAAGCCAAGCUCCACUAAAUGUUUAUGGAUACCCGUUACGGUCGGAUGAGAAAGAAUGCUCCUACUAUUUGAAAACAGGGCAGUGCAAAUAUGGUAUAUCUUGUAAAUUCCAUCAUCCUCAACCGGCGGGCACAUCAUUGCCAGCAUCUGCUGCUCAAUUUUAUCAACAGGUGCAGUCUCCUACAGUUCCUCUGCCUGAACAGUAUGUAGGAGCUUCCUCGAGCUUGAGAGUGGCCAGGCCUCCUAUAUUGCCUGGUUCAUAUGUGCAAGGGGCUUAUGGUCCUGUAUUUCUUUCCCCAGGGGUUGUCCAAUUUCCUGGAUGGAAUCAUUAUUCGGCACUUCCUGGCACUCAACCUGGUGUUGGGGCUACAUCUUUAUAUGGAGUGACCCAGUUGUCAUCACCAACAUCAGCUUUUGCUAGACCAUAUACACUGCUGCCCUCUUCCACUGGCCUUUCAGGAAGCAACCUGAAGGAACAAUUAUAUCCCAAAAGACCUGGUGAACCAGAUUGCCAAUACUAUCUGAGAACAGGGGACUGUAAAUUUGGAUUAGCUUGUCAAUAUCAUCAUCCUCAGGAUCAUGUUGUGGCACAGCCACUUCUUAGCCCUGUUGGACUUCCUUUACGUCCGGGGUUACAACCUUGUGCAUUUUAUUUGCAAAAUGGGCAUUGCAAAUUCGGCUCCACGUGCAAAUUUGACCAUUCUUUGGGAUCUAUGAGAUACAGUCCAUCGGCAUCUUCUCUCAUUGAUGUGCCAGUUACUCCAUACCUAGUUGGGUCGUUGCUGUCUCAAUUGGUUCCUUCAACAUCAGCGGACCUUCGGCCUGAACUGGCCUGAACUGAUGUCAGGGUCCAAAAAGGAAUCCUUUUCGGCCAGAAUACCUUCUUCUGGAAAUAGUUCUGGUACUUCUGUCGGUCUAAUUUUCUCACAAGGUGGGUCUGUCUUGCUAUCUGACGUGCAACUCUCAAGUCAGAGCUCUGCCCCUACAAAUAGUAGCAGAAGCACCCGACAAAGUGGUGAGAUACGUUGACCUGGCUAGUGUCAACUUGAAAAUGAGUCCUCGUUUUGUGUUGGAUGUGAUUUCACAAGACUUCAUUGCUUCUGUCUAUAGUCCUCAAUAUUUUGAUGGCAACUGUUCAAAGUUUCACUAUCGCUGUUUAGAAUUCAUCAUCCAAUUCUGUUUAGAACCCCAUGCUAGGUCAUUCUCUUUUGUGCUCACCCCAUCUGAUUAUAUUAUUAUCUCGAAUAAGGUUCAAUAGAAAACUUCAUAUUGUAUAUUCUUUCUCCCUUCUGAAUAUUAUUAUUUUACCUUCAUUUAUGGCGACAGAGCCUAGUCCAUACUCCGUACAGGAGGGCACAAGUUCCAGUUUUGCUACUGCUUUUGAGUACUUGCCAUUUCCCCCAUA
Glycine soja is the source of this 1978-nucleotide RNA transcript. It is a transcript of the gene named zinc finger CCCH domain-containing protein 32-like, with no coding region annotated. The record is from RefSeq and is a predicted model, not a curated record. NCBI's taxonomy places the organism in Eukaryota, Viridiplantae, Streptophyta, Magnoliopsida, Fabales, Fabaceae. The transcript is spliced from 7 exons.